Molecule: long non-coding RNA, 1014 nt
Organism: Spinacia oleracea (spinach)
Lineage: Eukaryota; Viridiplantae; Streptophyta; Magnoliopsida; Caryophyllales; Amaranthaceae
Exons: 2
Source: RefSeq, a predicted model, not a curated record
CCUUAGGAUUAGGAAGUAGUUUUGUCUUUUACUGAAGUGUUAAGUGUCAUUUCUUUUCUUUAUUUCUUUCUUUUUGUUCCUUUUCUCUUUGUGUUUGUCCGUGAUCCUUUAUUGCAGGUAAUGAGUGAUUUCGUUGAAGUUGGAGAUUUAACCCAGCCAACUCCACGCAACGCUGCAGGUAGCAGCCACAAGCCACAGACCUACGGUGCUAUCGUGAGCAGAUGCUUCUUGUCACUGGAAGGCUGUGACCACACCCGUGGUAUUUAAAGACGAAAAAAAAGGGAGAGAAGAAAAGAUUGCUAUACAGCAAACCCUCCAUUGUCUUACCGUGGCAUAAAAUCCCAACCCACGGCUUGACCGCAAUUCACCGGCAUUAUCAUUUAAAAAGGAGUAUAAUUGAAUUUUGUGAGGAGCAUAACACUAUCAAGGAAGACAUCUCAUCUAUGUUGCACUCUUGAAGAACUUAAACACUUGGAUGAAGUCACAAGGGUUUCCAAAUCCUUCACUUUCCCCUCCUCAGUGAGGCUUUGGAGUAGCUCAAGUUGGUAGACCUCAGAGAAGAUGUUGGUAGAAUGAGUACGAAUGUACGAUGUCUAGGAGCCACCCACGUUUACAAGGUGUUUACAUUGUGAUACAAACAAGAGUUCAAGACAAAUACAAGAUCACCGGGUAGCCAAUACCACGGCGUACCCGUGGCCUACUUUACAUCCCACACCCGAGCCAUGGCACUCUUCUUUCGAUCCCGUAUUAAACGUUUAAUGAGAUAAUUACUAGAGUUUAAUAGUUAGUAUACUUAUUAUUAUGUUUAGGUAUAAAUACAAGUAGUAUAGAAGACCUAAAACUUCUUCGGUGACAUUAGAUUGAGACGCAGCAUACGCAGCGACGAGAGUUUUGGAAUGCGCUUCUUUUGUUCGUUGCUUUUGGCUAAAUUACGUGAGUUGACUUUAAUUUUCUUCUUGAUUUAUGAAAUAAGAGUAUCAUUCAAGUUUAAAUUAAUAACAAGUUUAUUGCUUU